Molecule: ribosomal RNA, 265 nt
Filed under: uncultured archaeon
Lineage: Archaea
Description: partial 16S ribosomal RNA
Rfam family: Archaeal small subunit ribosomal RNA
Source: RNAcentral
ACACGACUACAUUAGAUACCCCCGUAGUCCCAGCCCUAAACGAUGCGCGUUAGGUGUAUCGGUGACCACGAGUCACCGAGGUGCCGAAGAGAAAUCGUGAAACGCACCACCUGGGAAGUACGGUCGCAAGGCUGAAACUUAAAGGAAUUGGCGGGGGAGCACCACAACAGGUGGAGCCUGCGGUUUAAUUGGAUUCAACGCCGGACAUCUCACCGGAUAAGACAGCUGAAUGAUUGUCAAUCUGAAGGUUUUACAUGACUAGCUG